Molecule: non-coding RNA, 23 nt
Filed under: Arabidopsis thaliana (thale cress)
Lineage: Eukaryota; Viridiplantae; Streptophyta; Magnoliopsida; Brassicales; Brassicaceae
Source: RNAcentral
UAGAUUUGUUUCUCGUUAAUUGC